RNAcentral lists this long non-coding RNA (347 nucleotides) under Eucalyptus grandis. RNAcentral's name for it is "long non-coding RNA (EGRA_LNC007544)". Lineage: Eukaryota; Viridiplantae; Streptophyta; Magnoliopsida; Myrtales; Myrtaceae. The record is from RNAcentral.
AAUUUCUUAAGAAUAUCCCAACGUCACGCGGGGUAUGGGCUUGGGAGAGCUCGCGCCUAAUCAUUGGGCCUUAGGCCCGUCUUUUAGGCAAUACCCCUAAACCUGUUCCCUCCCCCCGAGGGUAGGUCGCGACAGCUUGGCGACUCCGCUGGGGACUUGGUUUUAAACCUUAGAGGACUUAGGCCAAAAUUAAUUUUGUUCAAAAAUAUUUUUGUUUGGCAGCGAGGAUUUCAGGUACGCCCCUAACAUGAAAGGUGUUAAAUGUUUUUGCAGAAUGGGAGGUAUAAGGGGAAGUGUUUGCUCACCUUUGUCUUGCAGGGAGGUGUAGGAAUGUAUGGUUUAUUUUU